GACGAACGCUGGCGGCGUGCUUAACACAUGCAAGUCGAACGGAAAGGCCCUGCUUUUGUGGGGUGCUCGAAUGGCGAACGGGUGAGUAACACGUUAGUAACCUGCCCUUGACUUUGGGAUAACUUCAGGAAACUGGGGCUAAUACCGGAUAGGAGCUCCUGCUGCAUGGUGGGGGUUGGAAAGUUUCGGCGGUUGGGGAUGGACUCGCGGCUUAUCAGCUUGUUGGUGGGGUAGUGGAUUACCAAGGCUUUGACGGGUAGCCGGCCUGGUAGGGUGAGCGGCCACAUUGGGACUGGGAUGCGGCACAGACUCCUACGGUAGGGAGCAGUGGGGAAGAGUGUACGAGGGGCGGAAGCCUGAUGCAGCAACGCCGCGUGCGGGAUGACGGCAUUCGGGUUGUAAACCACUUUCGCCUGUGAUGAAGAGUGAGUGACGGUAAUGGGUAAAGAAGCACCGGCUAACUACGUG
Molecule: ribosomal RNA, 468 nt
Filed under: uncultured bacterium
Lineage: Bacteria
Description: partial 16S ribosomal RNA
Rfam family: Bacterial small subunit ribosomal RNA
Source: RNAcentral